Molecule: ribosomal RNA, 252 nt
Filed under: uncultured bacterium
Lineage: Bacteria
Description: partial 16S ribosomal RNA
Rfam family: Bacterial small subunit ribosomal RNA
Source: RNAcentral
UACGUAGGUCCCGAGCGUUGUCCGGAUUUAUUGGGCGUAAAGCGAGCGCAGGUGGUUUAUUAAGUCUGGUGUAAAAGGCAGUGGCUCAACCAUUGUAUGCAUUGGAAACUGGUAGACUUGAGUGCAGGAGAGGAGAGUGGAAUUCCAUGUGUAGCGGGGAAAUGCGUAGAUAUAUGGAGGAACACCGGUGGCGAAAGCGGCUCUCUGGCCUGUAACUGACACUGAGGCUCGAAAGCGUGGGGAGCAAACAGG